AGUGAACGCUGGCGGCAGGCCUAACACAUGCAAGUCGAGCGGCAGCGGGUCCUUCGGGAUGCCGGCGAGCGGCGGACGGGUGAGGAAUGCGUCGGAAUCUGCCUUUUUGUGGGGGAUAACGUAGGGAAACUUACGCUAAUACCGCAUACGACCUACGGGUGAAAGUGGGGGACCGCAAGGCCUCACGCAGAAAGAUGAGCCGACGUCGGAUUAGCUAGUUGGCGGGGUAAAGGCCCACCAAGGCGACGAUCCGUAGCUGGUCUGAGAGGAUGAUCAGCCACACUGGAACUGAGACACGGUCCAGACUCCUACGGGAGGCAGCAGUGGGGAAUAUUGGACAAUGGGCGCAAGCCUGAUCCAGCCACGCCGCGUGUGUGAAGAAGGCCUUCGGGUUGUAAAGCACUUUUGUCCGGAAAGAAAUCCUGUCGGCUAAUACCCGGCGGGGAUGACGGUACCGGAAGAAUAAGCACCGGCUAACUUCGUG
RNAcentral lists this ribosomal RNA (484 nucleotides) under uncultured bacterium. Its description in RNAcentral is "partial 16S ribosomal RNA". It matches the Rfam family "Bacterial small subunit ribosomal RNA", at positions 29 to 507 of the family's 1533-position model. The record is from RNAcentral.